CCUACGGGAGGCAGCAGUGGGGAAUGUUGCGCAAUGAGCGUAAGAGUGACGCAGCGACGCCGCGUGAAUGACGAAGGCCUUCGGGUCGUAAAGCUCUUUCGACAGGGAAGAAAAUGCCUAUAAGUAACUGUGUAUGUAUUGACGGUACCUGUAUAAGCAGCCCCGGCUAACGCCGUGCCAGCAGCCGCGGUAAUACGGAGGGGGCGAGCGUUGUUCGGAGUGACUGGGCGUAAAGAGCACGUAGGCGGUGUUGUAAGUCAUGAGUCAAAGACUAGAGCUCAACUUUAGUAAGGCUGGUGAUACUGUAAUACUAGAGUAUCAGAGAGGAUUGCGGAAUUCCUGGUGUAGCGGUGAAAUGCGUAGAUAUCAGGAGGAAUACCGUUCGCGAAGGCGGCAAUCUGGCUGGAAACUGACGCUGAGGUGCGAAAGCGUGGGUAGCAAACAGGAUUAGAUACCCUAGUAGUC
This 465-nucleotide ribosomal RNA is filed under the name uncultured bacterium. RNAcentral's name for it is "partial 16S ribosomal RNA". It matches the Rfam family "Bacterial small subunit ribosomal RNA", at positions 338 to 795 of the family's 1533-position model. The record is from RNAcentral.